GUCUACGGCUGUGCCACCCUGAAUAAGCCUGAUCCCGUCUGAUCUCGGAAGCUAUGCAGGGUUGGGCCUGGUUAGUACUUGGAUGGGAGACCACCUUGGAAGACCAGGUGCUGUAGGUG
RNAcentral lists this ribosomal RNA (119 nucleotides) under Pteropus alecto (black flying fox). Lineage: Eukaryota; Metazoa; Chordata; Mammalia; Chiroptera; Pteropodidae. The record is from RNAcentral.